This 467-nucleotide ribosomal RNA is filed under the name uncultured bacterium. Its description in RNAcentral is "partial 16S ribosomal RNA". It matches the Rfam family "Bacterial small subunit ribosomal RNA", at positions 28 to 506 of the family's 1533-position model. The record is from RNAcentral.
GACGAACGCUGGCGGCGUGCUUAACACAUGCAAGUCGAACGGAAAGGCCCUGCUUUUGUGGGGUGCUCGAGUGGCGAACGGGUGAGUAACACGUGAGUAACCUGCCCUUGACUUUGGGAUAACUUCAGGAAACUGGGGCUAAUACCGGAUAGGAGCUCCUGCUGCAUGGUGGGGGUUGGAAAGUUUCGGCGGUUGGGGAUGGACUCGCGGCUUAUCAGCUUGUUGGUGGGGUAGUGGAUUACCAAGGCUUUGACGGGUAGCCGGCCUGAGAGGGUGACCGGCCACAUGGGGACUGAGAUACGGCCCAGACUCCUACGGGAGGCAGCAGUGGGGAAUAUUGCACAAUGGGCGGAAGCCUGAGGCAGCAACGCCGCGUGCGGGAUGACGGCCUUCGGGUUGUAAACCGCUUUCGCCUGUGACGAAGCGUGAGUGACGGUAAUGGGUAAAGAAGCACCGGCUAACUACGU